Molecule: long non-coding RNA, 8709 nt
Organism: Myiozetetes cayanensis
Lineage: Eukaryota; Metazoa; Chordata; Aves; Passeriformes; Tyrannidae
Exons: 5
Source: RefSeq, a predicted model, not a curated record
GGACCUGCUGGGUCCUGUUCCUCACGGGUGGCUGCACCACAGCCCGGUCAGCGCUCCCUCCCCAAAAAGUCACGGUUUAAUCGAGACUGCUGAGCACUACGUGCGGAUUAGUGCAGGGUGGGACGCACCGCAGGCAGAACCGGAGGAGGAUGUAAGAGGCAGAGCCAGCCGAAGGGUUGCUUUUGGGACUGCCAGAAACUCAUCUGCCUCAUUCACUGCCCCUGCUUAUCAUUCUGCACUAUCUGUCCAUCACCGACAGGAUGGAAAGCUGCCGGUAUCAGCUGGAUGGGCACAUGUGGAUGGUUCAAUAUGGGAAGCAGAACAAGGUGCUAUGCCUAUAACUUCUGCAGCUGUGGAGCCAUGGUUUCAGAUUCAUCUGUUCUCUUUGGAAUUUCAAGUUGGUUCACAGAAACAUGAGAGAGAUUUCAAAGAAUGCCAUUGAAAAUCCUUUUCUGCUUGAAUGUGAAAGCAGUGAGGGAAUAUUUCAUGGGGUACAAGCAGCCUGUCAGCACAGGAAUAAGGGGAAGGAAGUAAAACAUAAAAUUGUUAUCAACAGGAAAGAAGAAAACUCUUUUUGAAGGCCGGCUAAGGAUUAAGCCACCCCUUCAACCAUGCCAUCAGUUCCAGCCAUCUAUCUCAGUGUCCAGCCAUGGUCUACUGAGAUCAGAUCUUGCACCACAGAACAAAGAGGUUGUUUUCCUUUUUGCCCAAAUACGCCCUGUUUCUCUACUAGGGGAUUUUUGCAAAGGCAAUGCUGAACAGAGAGUAGCUGUGGGCACUGGCACGGCUGGCUUCUCAUGGCAUGCAAGAAACUGCCACCAGCCACCUGACAUCAGGGGGAAGGUUUGAUCUGACUAGUGAGAGGGGAAAGCUUGAGUCAAUGUGUGCAAUACGCAUGUGUGUCACCACUACACCACUUUUUUUGUUCCAUCUACCAUAUUAUUUUGAAUCUGGUGGAAAAUUGGGUGGAGAAGGCAGCCAACACAUAAAGAUAAGUGCUUGUGCAUGAGUGUAAUAUGUAUAUGCUAAUCCUCUGAUAUGUUUUCCUGUAGGUAGAAACAGCACAUGGAAAAGAGAAACCCAGGGCUGGAAGUGAAUGAACAACUCCUGUUCCACAGUAUGAAUCCAUCUCAUAUACCUGUUGUCUGUAAGCAGAAUUUUGGCUGGAGGUUCUGUGAAACUCAUGGGACAGUGUAUGGAAAAAGUAUAAGGGUAUGAGCUGGACCUGCAUCAAAAUUCUUGGGGAGUUUCAAGUGUGCAAGGAAAAUGCUGUGCUUUCUACUGUGUGGGUCUGAUCCUAACUCUUUAGAUCUCUCACAACCAGUAAAGCAACAAAAAUCAGUGGUGAAUGCUGCUAGAUCAGCCCCAUCUGUUGACAGCUUAAAAUAAACUCAAGCAGAAACACCUGGUAAGGAUACGUUUGGAGCUACCGGGAUAGGAGAGAAAGGAAGGUGCUUGUUGAGGAUUUGGCUGCCUAAGUGCAGAUAGCAGAUUUUUGUCACUUUGGUUUAUGCAUUUUUUUACCCGUGGCUUUUUCUGGUCCCUAGGAAGCUGCUUUGCUAGAGAUGCCACUUAUUCUCAUCAGUGUUGUCCACCCAGCACAGACCACCACAGCAUGUCUGUAACUGAAGUUCUUGUUGGAGAUUUUGUUUCAGGGAAACUACAAAUACUGUUGCCCUCCAGCCAGACCUGGGAUUUCAAACAGCUUUUCCAAAAUUUCAAAAUUUUGAACAGCUGUGUAGAUGAUAAAAAAAUAUCCUGUCAUCUUUGAGAAGCACCAGAUUUACGUGGCAUGUAUCUUGGAGGAUACACAUUCAUUCUGAUAAAGAUGAUGGUGGGGGUAACAACAUCGUGCCUGGAAACAACACUUUAAGGUUUGACUUUUUUGAGCUCUGUGUUGCAUGUAAGAAUCUCAUAUCUGACAUUCAGCUAUACUGCAGCUGUUUCACUUACAGGAAUGAAACUACAAGUAUAGUAACUUGAGGAAUGGCUGGGUCCUCUAAGAGUUGUUUUCCUCCCGAACAGGCUGGUAGCAGUUACAUCUUAACAAAUAAUAUAAGCACAACAACAUGGUGAUGAUUUGGGUACAAGUGCAAUAUAGAUUUAAAUGUGCAUUGUGGUUAAUUUCUAAAACAAAUUGCUUCCAUGUAAAGUAUGGUACAUAAGUAGAUGUUUUUUAGGACAUGGGGAAAUGAGUACAGAAAAUGGGGGAUAUGGAGUGUAAAAAGCAUGUUUGAGGGGUGACUCUCUGGAGUUGUUUUUCCACAGAAAAAAGAUCAUCAGUAUCUUGUCAGUGUAAGAAAAGUAGACAAUAGGCUCUGAGCUGUUUUUGUCCUGUGGUUUGGCUGCUUUAAAUUUUGUGGCAAGAAAAGGCUUUUAGAUCAUAUCCUAAAGGACUGUUACAUCAUGUUCCCUAAUUUCUCUGCUGGUCCCUUUUGGUUAUCUUGCAAUAAGAAUCAUAAGGGCUCUAAUUCAGAUGGGAAAAAAAUAUAUUCCUGGAUAACAAAAAGGCAAAUGACUCACUGGUCUUCCUCAGUCUCCUGUGGCCACUGAUUGUGUGCCGAAGCCACCCAUCUUCACAUAACCCUUCUGCGAGAGCAGGGAGAUGCCUCGAGCUCUACUGCAGUCCAGUCAUACCACAAAUCAAAACAACAGUAAUUUCCUGCUCUUCUAGAAAGAGCAAAGUUGAUAUUUUGAGUUGUCUGUGCCCUUCUGAACUGCAGGAUGAGCUGGGAUCUCACUUUGAGCUUAUGCAACCUUCCUAUGCUAUAAGGUUAUGUAACCUUCCUCCCAAAACUCAAAGUAUGAGUAUGAAAACUUCCUUGGAUUCACACUGGGAUAUUGUAGUGCACUUUUCUUUGGUGUUGCCACACAGGUGUGCAGCAGCCUGCUGUGUGCUUGGCUCCCAUGCUGUGGGCAGCUGUGGGCAGCUCUGGCGUGUUUGGGUGUUAAGCUGGAUCAGGAAGAGGGGAGCAGAGUGGUGGUGCCUUUGCAGGGAGCUGUUGCUCAGCUUUUGCUCAUGGUGAGAGAAGAGUAAGUAAUGGAGAAAUGAGGAGACAGCAAACUCUCCUGUGCUUGCCUGAGGAUUGGUCAUGGACUAGCUGGAAGCAGCUCCCUUGAGUUCUGCCCUGGUGCCUUCCCCUACACUCAGCUCUCCUCCACACGCAGCCCUGGCCCCUGCUGGUCUUGAAACACUUCAGCAGACCCAUAAAGGGGCCAAGGGUGCAGGGCAACAUGACUACUUUCAGUCACGUUCCCUCUUCUGGGGAUAUUGUCUCCCACUCUUGCCCAGAGCUGGGUUUGGGAUCAUAUUGUUAGAAACACUUGAGUGCUGGUGGCCACAUCCUGGCUGUCCACUGGGAAACACCAUGAGCAGUUCUGCAGCCUCUGUCAGCGGGAGACUCUGGGAAUGUAGGAAACUGAUGUUAGAAAACAUCCUGGGAACCCCAUAACUAAUGUUGGGGAUGGAGUUGGCUUUGUUCCCCCAUCACUGCCAGGACUUCUCACCCUGUUUUUCUGUGUCAAGUCUGCCUGUCCUACUGGUGACACCCUGUCCCGGACCAGAGAGCUUCCCUGGGCUUACUUCAAGAGAAGCAAGGAUAUUGCAGCUUCUGAAGUUAGAUCUCCACCAUGCCAUGACACCAACAGCGAGGAAGUCUGAGGUGGUGUGUCUGGAAGGCUGCGAUGGUGUGUGUCCCUCGGGCAGAGAGGGUUAAGCCAUGGAGGCUGACCCUUUAAACAAAGGCUUGAUUCAUGUCUUUUCUUCCUUGAAGGGAAUGACAGAAAGAAACGUAAGUAAAAUACAGCAAAAGCUGUUGUGAAACAAGCCCGUUGCUGUUCUCCGAAAAACAAGUAUGUGAGGAUUCAUUUUUAGAGGCGCGCUGAAGCAGGGGGACACCAGGGGGUGGCCACAGCCACUCUUCCUCCAGGGGCUGUCACUGCCUUGCCAGUGCCAAGGACUAAAAUUGUCCGGCUUCUUAGAAGAGGACGUGGUCCUGACUGUGUGCCACAAAAAAUGUCUGCUGUGCAAAACCACAAGCUAUUUCCCACUCCAAAGCAAAAUCUUUAAUAGUAGCUGUUCUUGCAGUAAUUGGUGGAUGACUGCUGUGCAGAGGACUCCUUUCUGUCAGCGUAUUGAGGCUUGCAGGGUCUGGGGGAUGUCCGCAAUCUCAGUCAGGUGUCUGUCUGUGAAAAUGAACGUUCAUUUCAUGGCCAACUGAAAGGUUAAUCUUCAUCCAACAAUUAAAAAGUAAAAAAACCAAAUGCAUCUAUGGAAAACAGCCGAUAAUAAGUUUCUAUGGCUCAUAGCAGUGUUGACAAAUUUUACCACAGACAAUGGGUUUAUUGAUUCUGGCAGCACUCCUUGACCAUCAAGAAAGUAGCUAUUACUGAAAUUUUUGGCGUUGAUAUAUUAAGGGUUUGUUAUUUAGAAUUUGGACAUUCAGAAGCAUGGGACUGCACAUUUUGAAGCUGGAGGAAUGGUACAAAACUGAAAUGUAUUGCUCUUAACCUGACUACGUGGUUGUCAAUACAUGCAUCUUAGCGUACAGCUCCGACAGUUUCUUGCAACUGCACCAGAAUGUGCUUAUAAAUGAAAGUUAGGAAGUAAUAAUUAAAAAAUUUCAAAUAGCCCUAGGUAAGAUCAUGAAAAAUAAUUUGGAGCAGAGAGAGCUGUAGACUUUAUGUUUCAUUGUAUAUACAUAUGCAUAUAUAUAUAUAGAUAUGUAUCAUUGAAAGCUGCUAAAUGAAAUCACAGCUGCAUUAGGCAAGUUCUGUAGGAACAUGGAGGAAUAUCUGUCUUCAUAUUUUGAAAAACUGUGUUUGUGAUGCUGCUACAUCCCCACUUUUAAAAUUACUUUUAUUCUGAAAUGCAUAAACUUUAAAUGAGACUUUUCAAAACAGGAUUCAACCUUUUCAAUCCAAUUGCAACAUGUUUUGUUUGAAUACACACACUGAAACACGAAAUGAUGACAAUAAUUAUUCCUGGAAGGUAUUAAAAAGUUGAUCCGUAUGCAUAAAUUGAAUUAUGGCUCUGGCAAAGGUGCAAUAUAAGCAAACAGACAUAGUAUAAACACUUAAUACUCCUCUAGCAUCUACUGCCAAGGUCCUCUAAUGAUUUUAAAUCACUUCAGACUGUUACUGUGAGAUAGCCUGCCUGUACUCGAUUACAUAUGCACAAAAAUAAGAAGAUUAAAGAAAAUGUCAAGAGGACAAAAGGGAUUUCUUGAAAAAGUUAGUGAGGGAGGGCCAGGAGCAAACUUAGUGAAGAUGGCACCAGCUGCAGUCUCAAGGACUGGCUGUUCAAAUUCCUUGAGCAAUAGAGAGAAACCAUAGGGGAACCCAGCUGCCAAGAAGUCUAAAGACAUUUCAACAGCACAUUUGUGAAGAGUAAUUUUGCAAAGACUUAUAAACUGACCACACUGGGCAGGUUUUCCUGGGAUUAGCAAAAGACAUGGUCUUGCCAUGAAAACUGCUGCUUUGCCAGACCUGAUGUUCUGCUACAAAGCAUAGUUUUCCUCAUGGAAUAGAUGUUAUAAUGUUCCUUGGAUAUUAAUGUUGUUAAAUAACAACAAUAACCACAAGGAAGCAGCUCUCCAACAUGGAAAGUUUCAAUAUUUGCUCAGAACAAAGCUAGCUGCAGUGGAAAUCAAGGUGUUAGAACAGCAGGGAUGAAGCAACCCAGUAGUAGUCAGUGUUGUGUCCUCCACCCACUGCAGGGAUAUAUGAGUGUGUAUGUUUUGUUGCUAUGCCAGCUACAAGUCAGCAUUUAAAACUCGCUGCUCAUCCACAGCUGUGUGCUUCUAGUAAAAAAACCAAUAAAAAAACUAAUGGAAAGGUGUGUCAUAAAGUGGGGUCACUGCUUUGGCCCAGAUGAAAGCCAUGGGGGGUAAAUACAUUCAGGACUGGGAGACACAUCCAUCUUGCAGUAAUAAGGAACCACCAAAGCCAGUGAGAAUGGCCUGGACUGUCAAAGCCUCCUUGCCUCUGUCAAACCAACUGUGUCAUUUAAAUGAAUGUUGAUCUUGUCGCAGGACUCAAGGACCUGAUCAAAAAAAAGAGAGAUUCCUUCAGACAUUGAAUUUAAAUAACAUGAUGGUCAGUUUGUGAAGAGCAAGGCAAAUGACCUAAUACAACUUUUUACCUUCAGUCUGUAUAAGGUUUAUUCAGAAUGCUGGCAGCAAAUGUAGGAAGCACUGUGACAUUCCUGACCUGGGGAAGAGGCUUCAGUGACAUUUUGCCUUAUGUCUUUGAGUCUUUCUCUCUAGGACAUCCUCUGCAAAAAACCAUGUCCAGAGUGCCAACUGCAUGAACAAGAAGAGGACUCUUGGAAACCAUAUACAGAUGGACUGAGCCAAUGAUGAAAAAGGGGAGAGAAAGGACAGACAGCCUGUAGGUGAUGGAGCGUGUGUUCUACAAAUCCAGACUGCCUUAAGCUAAAGUAAACAGAGCAAGCUGGGGAAAGUUACAAUGGUUUAGAUUUUCUAAGUACAACGAAUUUCAUUUUAUUUUGAAACAAUUUUCCCUUAAGGAAUGUCCUUUCAUUUUAAUUUGCAAAAGGCUGACAACUCAACUCAUCUUAUGAAAACUGUUCCCUUUUGCUGGAAAGAAUUAAUUUUUUUUUUUUUUUUUUGCUAAUUCAAAACAUUAUUUUCCCCUCUCAUAUUCAUCACCCACCUUUCAGUUUCCUCACCAUUUCAGUCCAGUACUUGAUGGGUAUUUAGAAGACAAUUUCUCCAGUGGACAGAUUUUCUCAUAGUUGUUCUCUUAUUAUUUUUGCCAAAUAACCUAAUCUGAUCUGACAUAGCAGUUUGUAUUCUUUAGGAAUAUAACUUUCUCAAGUGCUCAGAUAACAUGAAAUGAAAAUGGUGUCUAACUCAAACUGCUCAGUGCCAAAACACAGUGCUUGAAGGAGAAUGGGCAACUCACUGAGACCCAUCCCCCUGUGCUAGUAAGCUGGAGAUGGUCAGUUCAAAAGUCAUGGUAGAGCAUACACUCCAAGCAGCUCAAAAAGCUUCCCAAGGCCCUCAAGAAAACCUGGAGGUCUGUAGUAAAAGACCCAGCAACCUCCUGUGUUAUUUGAUGAGGAGAGGAGAGAGUGAGGGCACCCCGACCAGGACAGUUGAGUCCCUGCUGGGUAGAACAAGAGGCAGAGACUGCGAAGGGCAGUGAAAGAAGAUUUGAUUUAGACUUAGGUAAAAUGCUUUGUACCGAAAAAACCAACUUAGCCCUGCUACAGAUUAUGUAGAGUGAGGAUCCCUUUCAGGAAACUCCUUAAGAAUACCUGUCAAAAUGGUAUGGUUGCUUCAUCUGGGGUUGGAUGUUCUUCCAGAGUUCCACCAGAAGUGGUACUGUCCAGAUUCUUCUCCACAUUUAUUAUAUAGUUCACAAAGCAUUUAUUAGCUGUUUUGUCCUCUCCUGCCAUGAUUUGUCUACAGUACUUACUUCUGAAACAAUUUUCCACUAUUUCCUCUGAAACAACAUUCCCUGACUGUUAGAACUCUAGGACUAACUGGAGGCAAAAAACAACAGCUGGAACAUAACCUAAGAUUGCAUCCACAAGAACAGGAAACCCUUAGAAGUUACAGAGACCCUGGUCAUCUCCUGAAACUAUGGUUUUCAAAGAAUUUAGCUGGAUCAUGCCUUCAGACCUCAUCUCUGUAACCAUCCCAAAUUGGCCUGGGGGCCUCUUUACCCAUUUCUGGGAGCACAUCUGUCCUAGCCGUGCUCAAACCUGUCCCACUGCCCACAGACAGAUUCUCCAAAAUCUUGCAUGGAUUAGCAAUUCUCAUAAAGGUGGGAACUCUCUGCGAUGCUUGAUCCAGGAGCGUGUGUGUGCUGAUUUGGCAUAAGGCCGAUGUAUGGGGGCCCAUGAGUGCUGAUGGCGCAGAAGUGACUCUGAGAGGGUGUAGACAUCCACGAGGUGCUGGAGAUCGGUGCAGGCAGGGCACAGACAUCAGCUUCAACCUGGAGAGAGGCAUUACAGUGUUUUGCCCUUCUGACAAGAGCAAACUGAAUCACUGAGGUAAAGUCUGAGAUUCAUUUGUGCAUAUUGCUGGGAACAGGAAGAGGAGCAAGUAAAUAUGACUGGAUGUGUUAUGGCUAGCUGUCUUUUGUCCUGUUUGAUCACUUGAAAAGACAGAUGACUGCUUACUUUAGUCUAUAAGGCAUGUUUGUUACACAUAAAGAUUCAUGGACUUUGUUAUGUUUGUUUUUGUUUUGUUUUGUUUUUUUUAAACUUGCUAGAAUGACACUGAGUAUUAAUUAAAAUUCUGUGACUGCUUGAUGGGGAAUGAACAAAGGGUAAGUAUCAAAGCACUGGUUCUCUGCAUCAUGCUAAUAUAAUGUUUCCUUAUAUUAAAAGAUAGCACAAACUCACAGAAGAGUAAUGUGGAUAAAUUAAGUGAUAAUCAAUGACAAGAAAUAAAAUCUUAUAACUUUAUUAUAAUUUAUUGCCAAAGCAAAAAUAUUGCCAGAGGAGAAGUUUUUCAGAGGAGGGAAAAAUUCUGUGGAGCUGUAACAACAUAUCAUCAACCUUUACACCUUGUUCAGAAGAGGAAAAUUUUAUUAGAUUACAAAAGGACUAGUAAUUUUAUUCCAUUAAUAACUAGAAAUGCAGAAAACAACAACUCAGUGUGGGCAAGUCCUGAGAACUGACUCAUCUCAGAACUUGUUCAGAGAAACGAUCUGAACUAACUUAUUCAUAUUGAA